AACGAACGCUGGCGGCAGGCUUAACACAUGCAAGUCGAGCGCCCCGCAAGGGGAGCGGCAGACGGGUGAGUAACGCGUGGGAACGUACCUUUUGGUUCGGAACAACUCCGGGAAACUGGAGCUAAUACCGGAUAAGCCCUAACGGGGAAAGAUUUAUCGCCGAAAGCUCGGCUCGCGUCUGAUUAGCUAGUUGGUGAGGUAACGGCUCACCAAGGCGACGAUCAGUAGCUGGUCUGAGAGGAUGAUCAGCCACACUGGGACGGAGACACGGCCCAGACUCCUACGGGAGGCAGCAGUGGGGAAUAUUGGACAAUGGGCGCAAGCCUGAUCCAGCCAUGCCGCGUGAGUGAUGAAGGCCUUAGGGUUGUAAAGCUCUUUUGUCCGGGAAGAUAAUGACUGUACCGGAAGAAUAAGCCCCGGCUAACUUCGUG
RNAcentral lists this ribosomal RNA (431 nucleotides) under uncultured bacterium. Its description in RNAcentral is "partial 16S ribosomal RNA". It matches the Rfam family "Bacterial small subunit ribosomal RNA", at positions 29 to 507 of the family's 1533-position model. The record is from RNAcentral.